This 1923-nucleotide ribosomal RNA is filed under the name Escherichia coli. RNAcentral describes it as "bacterial LSU rRNA". It matches the Rfam family "Bacterial large subunit ribosomal RNA", at positions 1 to 1943 of the family's 2925-position model. Lineage: Bacteria; Pseudomonadati; Pseudomonadota; Gammaproteobacteria; Enterobacterales; Enterobacteriaceae. The record is from RNAcentral.
UAAGGUUAAGUUAAUAAGGGCGCACGGUGGAUGCCUUGGCACUAGAAGCCGAAGAAGGACGUGACAAACGACGAAAUGCUUUGGGGAGCUGUAAGUAAGCGCUGAUCCAGAGAUGUCCGAAUGGGGGAACCCACUAACUAAUGGUUAGUAUCCAUAACUGUUAAGGUUAUGAGAAGGAAGACGCAGUGAACUGAAACAUCUAAGUAGCUGCAGGAAGAGAAAGCAAACGCGAUUGCCUUAGUAGCGGCGAGCGAAACGGCAGGAGGGCAAACCGAAGUGUUUACACUUCGGGGUUGUAGGACUGCGACGUGGGACUUUAAAAGGAUAGAAGAAUUACCUGGGAAGGUAAGCCAAAGAGAGUAAAAGCCUCGUAUUUAAAAUUCUUUUGAGCCCUAGCAGUAUCCUGAGUACGGCGAGACACGUGAAAUCUCGUUGGAAUCUGGGAGGACCAUCUCCCAACCCUAAAUACUCUCUAGUGACCGAUAGUGAACCAGUACCGUGAGGGAAAGGUGAAAAGCACCCCGGGAGGGGAGUGAAAUAGAACCUGAAACCGUGUGCCUACAACAAGUUCGAGCCCGUUAAUGGGUGAGAGCGUGCCUUUUGUAGAAUGAACCGGCGAGUUACGAUAUGAUGCGAGGUUAAGUUGAAGAGACGGAGCCGUAGGGAAACCGAGUCUUAAUAGGGCGAUUUAGUAUCAUGUUGUAGACCCGAAACCAUGUGACCUACCCAUGAGCAGGUUGAAGGUGAGGUAAAACUCACUGGAGGACCGAACCAGGGCACGUUGAAAAGUGCUUGGAUGACUUGUGGGUAGCGGAGAAAUUCCAAACGAACUUGGAGAUAGCUGGUUCUCUCCGAAAUAGCUUUAGGGCUAGCGUCGAUGUUAAGUCUCUUGGAGGUAGAGCACUGUUUGGGUGAGGGGUCCAUCUCGGAUUACCAAUCUCAGAUAAACUCCGAAUGCCAACGAGAUAUCAUCGGCAGUCAGACUGCGAGUGCUAAGAUCCGUAGUCGAAAGGGAAACAGCCCAGACCACCAGCUAAGGUCCCAAAAUAACUGUUAAGUGGAAAAGGAUGUGGGGUUGCACAGACAACUAGGAUGUUAGCUUAGAAGCAGCUAUUCAUUCAAAGAGUGCGUAAUAGCUCACUAGUCGAGUGACCCUGCGCCGAAAAUGUACCGGGGCUAAAACAGUUUACCGAAGCUGUGGAUGACACAAAAGUGUCAUGGUAGGAGAGCGUUCUAUGUGUGAAGAAGGUGUACCGUGAGGAGCGCUGGAACGCAUAGAAGUGAGAAUGCCGGUAUGAGUAGCGCAAGACAGGUGAGAAUCCUGUCCACCGUAAGACUAAGGUUUCCAGGGGAAGGCUCGUCCGCCCUGGGUUAGUCGGGACCUAAGGAGAGACCGAAAGGUGUAUCCGAUGGCCAACAGGUUGAUAUUCCUGUACUAGAGUAUAUAGUGAUGGAGGGACGCAGUAGGCUAACUAAACCGGACGAUUGGAAGAGUCCGGCUAAGCAGUGAGGUGUAAGAUGAGUCAAAUGCUUAUCUUUAUAACAUUGAGCUGUGAUGGGGAGCGAAUUUUAGUAGCGAAGUUAGUGAUGUCACACUGCCAAGAAAAGCUUCUAGCGUUUAAUGAUACUCUACCCGUACCGCAAACCGACACAGGUAGUCGAGGCGAGUAGCCUCAGGUGAUCGAGAGAACUCUCGUUAAGGAACUCGGCAAAAUGACCCCGUAACUUCGGGAGAAGGGGUGCUGACUUAGGUCAGCCGCAGUGAAUAGGCCCAAGCAACUGUUUAUCAAAAACACAGCUCUCUGCUAAAUCGUAAGAUGAUGUAUAGGGGGUGACGCCUGCCCGGUGCUGGAAGGUUAAGAGGAGGGUUUAGCGCAAGCGAAGAUCUGAAUUGAAGCCCCAGUAAACGGCGGCCGUAACUAU